Molecule: long non-coding RNA, 12276 nt
Filed under: Homo sapiens (human)
Lineage: Eukaryota; Metazoa; Chordata; Mammalia; Primates; Hominidae
Description: HSALNT0240985
Source: RNAcentral
GAAAGACCUGACCGUCCCCCAGCCCGACACCCGUAAAGGGUCUGUGCUGAGGAGGAUUAGUAUAAGAGGAAGGCAUGCCUCUUUGCAGUUGAGACAAGAGGAAGGCAUCUGUCUCCUGCCCAUCCCUGGGCAAUGGAAUGUCUCCGUAUAAAACCCGAUUGUAUGCUCCAUCUACUGAGAUAGGGGAAAACCGCCUUAGGGCUGGAGGUGGGACAUGCGGGCAACAAUACUGCUCUGUAAGGCAUUGAGAUGUUUAUGUGUAUGCAUAUCUAAAGCACAGCACUUAAUUCUUUACCUUGUCUAUGAUGCAGAGACUUUUGUUCACGUGUUUAUCUGCUGACCUUCUCUCCACUAUUAUCCUAUGACCCUGCCACAUCCCCCUCUCUGAGAAACACCCAAAAAUGAUCAAUAAAUACUAAGGGAACUCUGAGGCUGGCGGGAUCCUCCAUAUGCUGAACGCUGGUUCCCUGGGUCCCCUUAUUUCUUUCUCUAUACUUUGUCUCUGUGUCUUUUUCUUUUCCAAGUCUCUCGUUCCAGCUAAUGAGAAACACCCACAGGUGUGGAGGGGCAACCCACCCCUUCACAAAGCUAUUUCCAUCUGUAAACCAUUCUACUUUGGGAUUAUCUAGAGGCUCAUCUUUUAAAUGUGGACGGCUAGAGUAAACUUGCUCCAUAACUUGUAUCCAAGAAUGAUCUGGGGUGCCUGUGGGUUCAGGCAAGUAGGUAGCUGGAUUAAAAUCUGGCAUACUUUAAGUGUUGUAUCAGGAGCAUCUAGCAACAAAGCCUGGUAUUUAUUCACAGGAAAGGAGAAGAAGCAUUUUCUGUCUGCCUUGUCAUUUCCAAAACAUACUACUGUUUGCAGCUGAGUUAAUAAACCCCUUCCCAACAAGGGUGGGGCAUUCAGGAGAAAACCAAAGUCCCUGAAGAGCAGCUUAUAGGAUAGGUAAAAUGGCAUCUAUGGGCCUGUCUAUCCCCUUGACCAUAGAGUUUUGGGAUGACAGAGGCCCAUUAUAAUGGGUCAAAACAGAGUAAGCAUUCUAGAAGGAAGUUAAUAUUAUUACCUGUCAUGUCAAGGGUUAUCUGAGGCUUCUCAGAAGAUAUGGCUAGUUGUCCGACGGGAGGUGUAGCGGAAGGUCUUGGGCCCCGUCACUCUUGGGCUUCCCUGGUUAUUUUGGCAUCUGGUUUGGGUGCAGAUGGCUGCUGUAAGGUACAUGGAUGUGCUUUGGUCAAGGAAUAGCCGAGGCAGAUAUCCAGGCCUGCAUGACUCAGUGAGACUGCUGCACAGGCACUCACCUCCACUUGUUAUAUAACCUGUUUGUGUAAGCUCAUACUUGGCUCUACACCACUACUGUCUGUAAAAGGAAUAACUGCCCUGCUGACACUGUGCACGGGGACUCAACAUGGCUCAGCAUCGCUCUUGUGCAGGCACUGGUGCUCAGAAAGAGAGUGAAGCUACUGACCCCUGUAAGGGAGAAUGACUGUCUGACAGGUGGAUAGAGGGGAGCCAGGACAUGGCUCAGCUUGUGCCCAGAGAGAAAGGUUAAGCUACUGAUCUUAGAGCUGGCCUUGCAGACCAGUUGUGCAGCUGUGAGUGGGAGCUAGCUGCUGAGAGGGUCCAGAGUCAGAGCAGACAGCCAAGAUAAAGGCGAACAGUAUAAAAGAGCUAGUGUGAGAGAACUGCUGAUGAGAGAGCUGCUGAAUAAAACUACAUUUCACCUGUCUACACCGCCCCGAAUGUUCUUUCAGCUAUUCAUCUAUCCAUCCACUCCUCUCAGACCUCAUCAUGGGCUGCACCCUAACCCUGAGCAUGACAUUUGUCAUAGUCACGGCCCUGGACCUAACAGCUCCCUUUGGAGGAAGACUGGGCAAUCCCUCUUCCAAUGACCAGUUUCCUUACAGUGUGCACACUGAUUCAUGCCCAAAACACGCUGACUUGGACAUCCAGCUCUGGGCUUCUCACAUUUCAGCUUCCCUUCUUCACUCCAAGAGCCAGGAAAGAAACUCUAUGUAGGAGGUGAGCUUAAGGCUGCAGCCAAGAGCUGCACCUUGUGGGAGGUCCUUCUUGCUCCUCUUUCUGCUUCCUGUGCUUUGUCCCCGUUAUUAAAAACUAAAAAUGCCAUAUCCAAAAGCUGUUUAAUAGGAGUCUAGGGACACAUAGUCACAUAGUGUGUUUUUGUUUUUUUUUUUUUAGACACAGUCUCGCUCUGUCACCCAGGCUGGAGUGCAAUAGCGUGAUCUGGGCUCACUGCAACUUCCACCUCAUGGGUUCAAGCAAUUCUCCUGCCUCAGCCGCCCAAGUAGGUGAGAUUACAGGCACUUGUCACCAUCCCCAGCUAAUUUUUGUAUUUUUAGUAGAGAAGGGGUUUCACCAUGCUGGCCAGGCUGGUCUUGAACUCCUGACCUCAAGUGAUCCACCCCCCUCAGCCUCCCAAAGUGCUGGGAUUACAGGCUUGAGCCACCACGCCCGGCUCCCAUAGCUGCUUUUUGUAGUUUCCUGGGGAUAUCAGGGGCAGACUGGGUCAUAAAAUGUCCUCCCAAAAGGGUUUGUCUCUCCUUUGAGGCAGGAUCAGUGAUAUUAUACUUCCCGAUUGCUUCAACUAAAUGCCCUUGAAACAAACCUGGAUUCUCAUCUUUAUCCUGAGAAUCUUCCUUAACCUGUUCAUAGAUAACAGGCUUUUUCAUACAUUUCUUCAUCCCUUCCAACGAACAAGUGACCAUAUGAUCUCUCCUCCCCAAGUGCUCACUGCGCCUUUGAUAAUUCCACUCUGCAUCUUGAUCUGGAACUGCUAUACUUCCUGCCUGAUACAUAGUAUGGUACGGGUUGCGAGCCAAUACCUCAUCUGCAUGGGUCCUAGCUGUCCCCAAAAUGCAUUGUUUCUCCUCCACUGUACAACACAGAGACAACAAAACAUGCAGAUCCUCCCAAGUUAAACUAUAGGUCAGAGUUGAUUUCUCAAACUCAUCUACAAAUUUUCCUGGAUCUUCAGAGAAAUGACCAACCUUCUCUAUAUAUAGGGUCAAACCAGACGGAGAAAAGGGAACAUGUACUCUCACAGUGCCCUCUUCCCGAUUUGCCACCUAAGUGGACAAAGAUUUCCCUUUGGAGGUUGAUAGCAGGCUGCACUAUAAGUAGUACUCGGUGGGCUAAGUUCUUUGUGGGAAUGGUGGGUACAGAGUGGGACUAGCUGGGUAAGGAGAAGGGACGAAGGGUUCUCAAGAACUUUCAGGUGGACUACAGGGAGAAAGAACUGACACAUACGAACCUUCAGAGCUGACAGAAAGGGGUUCCGCUCCACCCAAAAAUGCCUGCUGAACCACAGCAGGGCUUGCAUUAAAGGAUCACCUAGUAUGUCUAAAUCUUUUUCUUCUUUUCCUCUCAUCAAACAUGAUUCACAUUAUCCAAAUAACAUAAGUGAGCUGAGCUAUGAAUCUUAGAUAAACCACAACAUGGACUUUGAAAAAAAUGUCGAAUAAGGCAAAAUAAAUGAAGAGGAUUUAGAUGGGAACAACCAGAGUAACCAAUAACAGCAGUGAGGAUUGGAAAAGCAAAGCAAACACGGUUUGCCCGAAUCCAAGAAAAGAAAGUUUUUUUAUUUUCUUUUGAGACAGAGUCUCGCUCUGUUGAGAAGACUGCUGGAGUGCAGUGGUGCAAUCUCAGCUAACUGCAAACUCUGACUCCUAGAUUAAAGCGAUUCUCCUGACUCAGCAUCCCAAGAAGCUGGGAUUACAGAUGUCUGCCACUACACCCGGGUAAUGUUUGUAUUUUUAGUAGAGACGGGGUUUCAACACGUUGGCCAGGAUGGUCUCGAACUCCUGAUUUCAGGUGAUCUGCCUGCCUCGGCCUCCCAAAGUGCUGGGAUUACAGGUGUGAGCCACCGCACUUAGCUACAAAGGAGAUUUUUUAGUGUGCAAAACCAAACAAAACAGCAAGGAGAAAAGUCCCCUGAUUUCCAUCCUAGUGCUUCUCAAUCACACUCAGCACAGCAGCAACAAAACACAACCACAUCUAUCGAAUCUUACUGCUCAUAGCUGUUAAAUAUCAAAUCUCAAUCAGCAAUUUUAGAGCCGGAUCCUCCAAUGCUUUUGGUUCCCAGUGUUUCACAAGCAAACGGACAGAAAUCGGGAGGGACAUAGGAGAAGAAUCAGUUAAAAUCCCUAAGACCAGUUAAAUGAAGUCUCCUGAAAAUGACACUGAAACGGAGACAGCAACCAAGACAAGGAGGACGAGGCAGACUAAUACAAAGAGCAUAGCCUGCGGUGUCAAACCUGUUUUUUAGCCGAGAGGGGCUUUACUGGGAGGGGCCUCUAACCCUCCUCGGUCGGGCCUCUAACCCGAGGUCGGUCAAGUGUCCUUGCCUUUUAUUAAGAGGGGCCUCUAACCCACUCUCUUUUAGGAAAGACUCUAACUCCAUUAAGUUGGGCCUCUAACCCAAUCCCAUUCUUUACCCGGGCACUCCACCACUUACCCAAAGUCAGUCUACUGACUACUGCAGUGCUGCAGUCUACUUCCUUUGGGUUGGGGGAGUUUCUUCAGUAUCGUCCCUUCCAUCAUUCGCCAGAAAUAUGUUAUAGGACCCCAACACUUCCCCAAAGCACUAUAGUCCCAUCUGUGGUGGCCAGAAAUACGUCACAGGAAAAGGGCCCCGAUCCAGACCCAAAGAGAGGGUUCUUGGGUCUCGCGCAAGAAAUAACUCAGGGCAAGUCCGCGGUGCAAAAUAAAAGCAAGUUUAUUAAGAAAGUAAAGUGGUGAAAGAACAGCUACUCCACAGACAGAGAAGGGCGUUCCUGAAACUAAGAGAAGGAACGUAUCCACCCUAGGUACAAUGCUUGUACACAUGGGGAGAGGUGUUCUGUUACAAGGGUUUGUGAUAAUUAACUUUAAUUAUUACAUUUUGCAAGAAUCCCUAUUACUACCUUUAAAGCAAAAUUAGGAACGCCUUUGUUCUCCAGAUAUCCAGCUAUCUGGACACUCGGGUCUCUUCAGUAAACAUUAAUUUGUUCCCUUAACCGUAAGUAUCUGAAAGCUAGGAAUAUCCUUCUGAGAAUGCAGGCCCGUAAGUCCCGGCCUCAUUUUUCUAGCCCUCACUCAAAAUGGGGUCGCUUCAGGUUCCAACGUCUCUGACAGUCAUACUACAUAUGACUCAGCCACGUCAAUGGAAAAAGUAGACUGGAUAGUGACGUACCCGCAGAAAACGAAUGCAACAAUCUGUCAUACAGAUCUGACGGCAGUCAGAUUCUGCAGUGAAGUAGAGGCGGUAAACUUGAAUGCAACGAUCUUCAUACCGCAUCCCACAAAGCCACGUAAAUCCAAAAGCAGUCCGACUCUCGAUAGUGAAACACAUGCGGUAAACUUGAAUGGAAAGAUGUUUAUACUGCCUCGGAUAGAGACACGUAAAUGAAAAAGCAGUCCCACUUGGGAUAGUGAAGUAUGGGCGCUCAACUUAAAUAGGACCGUCCGCAUAUCGUAUGUGAGUGAAGCAAGUAAUAGCAAAGGGCAGUCAGAUUACGGAGACCGAUGGCGACUGAAGUGAGUGCAGUAACCUUUAACUCAAUGAUCGUCACGCCGCAACCAAGUGAAACCGAAAGCAACUAAGCGCUCGAAAGCACGCCCGGCCAGCUCAAAAACUACGGCGCUGAUGGACCCCAGUGAUCCGACGUAAAGGUGCAAACGUAAAGCGCACACGGCCAAUUUAAAAGCAGCGGCGCUGAUAGGCCCGGACGAACCGACGUGAACGCGUAGAAGUAAGGUACGCGCGAUGAGCUUAAAUACGCGAGUACUAAGAGACCGUGAAACCCGGAUUUAAGCGUGUAAACGCAACACACAACCUAGGAGGUCAGUAACAACGGUCCCAACUGAUGCAAAUGGCCCAAUGCAAACACGUUGACAAUCUCCCGUUAGCGACAGUAACAGACGCUAAGCGCCCAAUGCGAACAAAACUCCCGCUUCGAAAACUACACCUCGGAAUCCUUCCAGCGAUCAAGGGCCAGCAACACCACAAGCCUUCCACUGUAUCAACACCGUUUUCAAAACGAAAAUGUUAACGAUCGGCCACUGUACUCCUUCUCCCACACAUCCUAACCUCAGGGUGACAGAUAGCACCCUGAAUAACUCUCUCUCCUACGUUGAGAUUGUGUAUCUUUAUCCAAAUCUGAACACCUGCGUAAGUAAUAUUGUUACUAUUUUGGAGGAUAUUCACUUUCCUUUUUUGCUCCCAUAACUCCCGAGAGAAGCAGCCAUUUUAAAUUUGCAUGCCCCGCCGUGCCCUGCCUGCCAACCACUGAACAGAAAAGCGCCUGUAAAUCACUGGAAUCUUGGGAAAGCUCCUUCGGCUUCAUUGCCCUUCAGGAGGAAAAACCCACAACGGAAAAGACACGAAGAGCUCUAGGAGGCUCUUCUUUCCUCCUCCUCCCCCUCCCCUUCCCCUCCCCUCUCCCUCCGCCUCCCUUCCCCUCCGCAUCCCCUCCCCCUCCCUUCCCCCUCCCCCUCCCCAUCUCGUCCUGACCUAGCUGGCAUCCAACAUUACUUUAAACUUUUUUUCACACAUACGUUGAAAGAAUUGUUUGGUGAACACCCGUAUGCCCAUCACCUAAAGUCAUCUUGCUGUACUUGCUUUAUUACAUGUGUUACAGACGUCUAAUUACAUUUUUUUUUUCUUUUUUUUGAGAGGGAGUCUCGCUCUGCCGCCCAGGCUGGAGUGCGGUGGCGCGAUCUCGGCUCACUGCAAGCUCCGCCUCCCGGGUUCACGCCAUUCUCCUGCCUCAGCCUCCCGAGGAGCUGGGACUACAGGCGCCCCCACUACGCCCAGCUAAUUUUUUGUAUUUUUUAGUAGAGACGGGGUUUCACCGUGUUAGUCAGGAUGGUCUCGAUCUCCUGACCUCAUGAUCCCCCGCCUGGGCCUCCCAAAGUGCUGGGAUUACAGGCUUGAGCCACCGCGCCCGGCAAUUACAUAUUUUGUAUAGCUGCACACAUGGAGACAGGUACUCAGGUCUCGUCCCUCUAGCCAUUUCUCAACUGUCUGGUCCGGCAAGGGCAAGUUUUCGAGGAGGCCAGGGUGCAGCCCUCAGGGGAGCACAUGCUCUGACUGGUUGCAGGGCUGGGCGGAGCCUUGGGAAAGGGGCCCCUGUAAGAGUUAAAGAAAGAGGAUAUAAACACGAAAAGAGUUUGGCUCUUGUUGCCCAGGCUGGAGUGCAAUGGAGCGAUCUCGGCUCACCACAAAGUCCGCUUGCCAGGUUCAAGUGGUUCUCCUGCUUCAGCCUCCCAAGUAGCUGGGAUUACAGGAGCGCGCCACCAUGCCCGGCUAAUUUUUGUAUUAUUGUAUUUUAUUUAUUUUUUUUUUUUAGAAGAGACACGGUUUCACCAUGUUGGCCAGGCUGGUCUCCAAAUCCUGACCUCAGGUGAUCCACCCGCCUCGGCCUCCCAAAGUGCUGGGAUUACAUGAGGUACCGCACCCAGCCCCACAUUACUAUCUUCAAAGCAAACUUGAAAGCAACGAUCUUCAUACCGCAUCCCACAAAGCCACGUAAAUCCAAAAGCAGUCCGACUCUGGAUAGUGAAACACAUGCGGGAAACUUGAAUGGAAAGAUGUUUAUACUGCCUCGGAUGGAGACACGUAAAUGAAAAAACAGUCCCGCUUGGGAUAGUAAAGUAGGGGCGCUAAACUUAAAUAUAACGAUCCGAAUAUCGCAUCUGAGUGUGCCAAGUAAUAGCAGAGACCAGUCAGAAUACGGAUACUGAUGUGGGUGCAGUAACAUUUAAUCCAAUGACCGUCACACCGCAUGUGACUAAACCAAGUGAAACCUAAAGCAGCCACACUCUCCAAAGUACGCGCUGCUGACUUAUACACAAGUGUGCUAACAGGCCCCGAAGAUCCGAUGCAAACGCGUGGAGGUAACGAAAGAAGCUCCCAUUCCACCUUGUCAGCAGACAGCGUUUGAAGAUCUCCUUUGCUGAUGUAACGCGAAAUAACAGUAACUGAUAGAGCAAGUUCCGCACUUAACCUGAGCCUAAACGACCAAGGCGCUGCCGGCAUUAGCGUUCGUCCACGGCCCUCCUCCUCUUAGAGCCAAGUGUAUUAAUAGGUCCCGACAAUCUGAGUGGAGAUGACAAGAGGCUCCCAUUCUAUGAGUGGAGAUAACAAGCUGAUGACGAAACCCGGGUGCUCCCCUCAUUGGCACCCAGCAGGCAGCACCGGCCCGCUCCCGGAGCCCUCCAUCCUGCGCUUUCCCAAACCCCCAUCAAAACACCAACCCAGUCUCCUCCCUCUCAAGCCAUUUUCCAACCUGCCUGGGAGCCACUCUGAUCUCCCAGAACACCUCAUUUUGUGAAUUAUAAACCUUUUCACACCUUCUCGGUCCCUGUGUGAUGUCACCAGUCUCGAUUUCCAAAAUAAAUUUGGGGUCAGUGGUGGGGCUGGGGUCCAUCUAGUUCUGCAGAGUGGGAACAGCACAGAAGCUACCGGACUUGCUGUGCGCAUAGUCCAAUUUGGGUGCAAAAGCCUCCCCACUGGACUGGGUGGCCUCUUAUCAGUGACAAAACCAAGGGAUUUGCUAGUCCCUCAUUUACACACUGGUUACUGAGUGCCUCCCGUUGAGUUGAACACUUUUACUUCCGGGGAAAAUUCGUUGUUCCAGACCAAGUUGACUACUGUCUUCACUGGACAUUCUAAGAGGUGCUUUUGGUCCCAGGGAAAUACCCCGGAAGCUGUGAAGUACAACAGCCUUAGGCCCUGUCCCAAAUAUUCUAAUUUAAUGGCUGUACGGUGGGGCUAGGACCUCAGGAUGAUUCACUCCACCGAGGUAUCCGGUCGUCCUGAAGUAUAGCCAAGGUUGAGAAGCACCGAUAGACACGGAAGAAUUUUCACUCCCCUUCAGCAAAGACCUUUGUAGGAACUUAAAAGAGGAACCAGGUGUACAGGCAGAACAUGAAAGUGGAAAGGAGCGUGGCCACUGAAGCACAGCACCACAGGGAGGGGUUUAGUCCUCCAGAUGACUGCGAGCAGGGCUGGAUAAUGUCAGACCUCCCACUAGAGCUGGUGGAGCAGAGUGUUCUCUAACUUCCCCCAAGGAAAGGGAAACUCCCUUUCCCGGUCCGCUAAGUAACGGGUGCCUUCCCAGGCACUGGCGCUACCGCUAGACCAAGGUGUCCUCAAGCGGCCUUUAUCAGGAUGUGAUAGAGGACUUUCACUCUUAUCUUCUGCUCACUUCUCACAAUGUCCCUUCAGCUCCUGACUCUGUAUUGGCUGGUCUUUCCUCGGUUAUAAUAAUAAUACAGAGAUUAAUACUAAAAACUAAUGAUUGAUAAUAUCCAUAUAUAAUCAUCUCUAUAUCCUAUUUCUUUUUCUUUUUUUUUUUUUUUUUGACAUGGAGUUUCACUCUGUCGCCCAGGCUGGAGUGCAGUGGCGUGAUCUCAGCUCACUGCAAGCUCCACCUCCUGGAUUCAUACCAUUCUCUCGCCUCAGCCUCCUGAGUAGCUGGGACUACAGGCGCCUGCCACCAUGCCUAGCUAAUUUUUUGUUUUUGUAUUUUUAGUAGAGACAGGGUUUCACCCUGUUAGCCAGGAUGGUCUCAAUCUCCUGACCUCGUGAUCCGCCCACCUUGGCCUCCCAAAGUGCUGGGAGCCACUGCAUCCAGCUCUAUUUCCUACUUCUAAUAUAACUUUUCUUAUUCUAACUAUUUUCUUUACUAUAUUGGAACAGGUUGUGCCCUCAGUCUCUUGCCUCAGCACCUGGGUAGGUUUCCGCCUACAUGUAACCAGUGACUUCAAAUAUUCUGUUUUAUCUAAGAAGUACAACGAAGGUCAUGAGAAGCCUGAGUAGGCCUGAACUACAGCUGCCUGGGCACCAUAGUGAAGGUUAUAGGAUAAGCCCAUGCCCAGACAAACCUAGAUAACGGACAUCUGGGUUACUUGGCAACAGUCAUGUGCAAUCCUGUCUUUGUCCUGCCUCUGUAUUGCUGCUUUUCACACCACUGUAAGCUUGCUUCAAGCUAGCCCACCACCUUCUGUGAAGUAUGUAUAAAAGUCAGAUGCUGUCUUUGUUCCGGGCCCAGUCUUUUGGACGUUGAGUCAGCUGGGCCUGAGUGCACUCAAUAAAGAUUCUAGUUUCAACCUGAGGUCUCUCUCGUCCUCCUGAAUCCUGCAACAUUUCCAGUAGAGACAGGAUUUCACCAUGUUGGCCAGACUGGCCUCAAACGCCUGACAUCAAGUGAUCUGCCCACCUCUACCUCUCAAAGUGCUGGGAUUACAUGCGUGAGCCACCAUGCUCUACCGUUUUCUUCCCUUUUUAAACAGAAUAAAACUCAUUAUGUCUUGCAAUGACCAUAUAGAUCUAUUGGUAGGCCCUCUUAUAACCUGUCAGCACCAUCCAGCCAAAGGCCACCAGGAACACACCUGUCAUGACAUGAGUUAGCUUUGAGGGAGAACGUUUUGCAUGCCACGGGGAACUGUGGGGCAAAUAAGUAAGAGGGUGUCAGGGAUGGUUUAUUACAGGAUUUGGGCAUGUGUUAGGUGGUUUGAGGAGUCCUUUCUCUGGGAUGCUCUCAGGAAGUGGGGGUAAUUCUAUGAUUGAGGAUCUUAACAAAUUUCACCAAGAAGGAGGGAAGAGUAGAGGAAGGCCAAAGCCGUAAUUGGCUAAAGUAGCAGCAGUCGAUCCUAUUAGCCAGGACAUGGGGUAUGGCCUGGCUGUGAAUCCCAGACCCACUUCUGGUUCUGCUUUUCUCUUUCCAAAAAUCCAAGACAUAUUGUGGGAUCUUAGCGGUCUUACUUCUUCUGCAUCUUGAAAUGAUUUGCUAUUUCAUCAUCCUGGGAAAUCUUCUGUAGUUAAUUCAUUGAUUCCCAAAAAUGACUUAAGAGUCUUCAAGAGGCCAGGCACGGUGGCUUAUGCCUUAAUCCCAGCACUUUGGGAGGCCGAGGCGGGCGGAUCAUGAGGUCAGGAGUUUGAGACCAGCCUGGCCAACAUAGUGAAACUGUGUCUCUACUAAAAAUACAAAAAUUAGCCGGGCAUGGUGGUGCAUGCCUAUAAUCCCAGCUACUCAGGAGGCUGAGGCAGGAGAAUCGCUUGAAUCUGAGAGGCGGAGGUUGCAGUGAGAGGAUUGUGCCACUGCACUGCAGCCUGGGUGACAGAUUGAGACUCUCUCAAAAAAAAAAAAAAAAAAAAAGAGGUGUAAGAAUUAAAGAGGAAAGAAACAUGAAAGGGGAUGGGCAGUGGGGAAGUGGAGUAACAUGUACCACAGAGUAACAGAGGGAGGGGUGGUAGAAGGUGAUUGGAGAGUGUGACCCUGGAAGUGGAUGGUGGAUGGCGUUAUGGCAUCAGCAAUGACAAGAUCUAGACUUAGACCAGGGAAGUGAGUGGCUGGGGUACGUAAGGCCUAGGUCAAGGAACUGGGGAACUGGGUGUCAACUGAUGACAGGAGUUAUGUUGGAAAGUGAGCCAGGAGCUAAAACCUUCAAGGAAUAAGUAAGUGUUGGCAUGAGUGUGACUGGCCACCAGGACAGAUGACAGCAAUAAAGGGAGGUAGUGGGCAGUAUGGGUACAAGGCACAAUGGAAUGAGGGGUGGGGAGAACCAACAGAGAAAGGAAAGCAAUCAAUGUCCUUAGUGGAGGAUAAAGCGAAAGAAGAAAGGAGGCUGGGAAUAGGGAGGACAGCAGGAAAAUGAGCAAGGUUUCAGGAAUCAGACACGGGAUAAGAGAUGAAGCUUCUUGUGCCUGACCCACACAGAGCAGAAAUGCAGAACUUCAGGGUCAUUCUACAGUGAGUGGCAGAUACAUGGAAGACAGCUGCAGCAUUAGUUCUUUGCACUCACUACCUGGGGGAUGUCACCUCUGUCCAAGUAUAAUGCCCAGGGGGUUCUCCUUGCCUGCUGCCUAAACAGAGCUGAUUCAUCAGAACAGGGGAAUUGCAAUAGAGAAAGAGUAAUUUGGCUGGGUGCAGUGGCUCACACCUGUAAUCCCAGCACUUUGGGAGGCCAAGGCAGGUGAAUCACCUAAGGUCAGGAGUUUGAGACCAACCUGGCCAACACAGUGAAACCCUGUCUGUACUAAAAAUACCAAAAAUUAGCCGGGCGUGGUGGCACGUGCCUAUAAUCCCAGCUAUUGGGGAGGCUGAGGCAGGAGAAUCGCUUGAACCUGAGAGGCGGAGGAUGCUGUGAGCCAAGAUCCUGCCAUUGCACUCCAGCCUGGGCAACGAAAGUGAAACUCCAUCUCAAAAAAGAAAGAGUAAUUCACGCAGGGCUGGCUGUGUGGGAGACCGGAGUUUUAUUAUUACCCAAAUCAGUCUACC